CACCGCGGUUAUACGAGGGGCCCAAGUUGAUACUUUCCGGCGUAAAAAGUGGUUAUGGAAUAUAUAAACUAGAGCCGUACUCCUUCAAAGCUGUCGCACGCACCCGAAGAACAGAAGCCCAACCACGAAGGUGGCUUUAUAACCCCUGACCCCACGAAAGCUAUGACA
RNAcentral lists this ribosomal RNA (168 nucleotides) under Parascorpaena aurita (golden scorpionfish). Its description in RNAcentral is "partial 12S rRNA". The record is from RNAcentral. Lineage: Eukaryota; Metazoa; Chordata; Actinopteri; Perciformes; Scorpaenidae.